This is a non-coding RNA of Camellia sinensis, 2831 nucleotides long. The record is from RefSeq and is a predicted model, not a curated record. Lineage: Eukaryota; Viridiplantae; Streptophyta; Magnoliopsida; Ericales; Theaceae.
CCCCUAAUUUCGGCCUCUAGGGUUUUUUUCUUCUUUCAUCCGCAUACCUUCUUCACGCAAACCUACCUCUAAAUCAACCCAGCCACCGCCAUUCAUGUAGUGGGCAAAUGGUUUCCUUCACUCUUCCCCUCUUUACCUCUAUAUCUGUGAAAUCCAUUCUUGAAACCCCUCCUCAAACCUUCCUUUCCUAAACAAUUGAAAGCACCAAGUAUUUAUUUUAAAUGUGGUAUAAAAAGCAUGAUUUGAGAUUAAACAUUUUGAUUUAAUUGCCUUGUAUUUGUAUGAAGUUGGGUUUGCUCUGAAACUAUGUAACAAAGCUGAUUUAAAUUGUGUUUUAUAUUGUUGAGUUCAAACCAGUGUCUGGGCUUUCAAAACUUUAUAAUAAGUCAAAGACAAGCUCAACUUAGAAAAAUGUUGUUCCAUGCCAAUUUGCUUCACAUUGGUUGCCUGUAAUCGAUUAAAAAUGGAUUGAUAUUUAUCUUGCUUUGUGGUUUUUUAGAUGGUGUUGAUUGGAGAUGAAUAACGUCUACCAACUAAAAGUAAAAAAAUAUCAAACUGGUUGUGUCAUUUUUUCCCCAUUUUCUAAACAUUGAAAAUUAGGCCGAAGCUAAACUGGCUGUGCCAUUUAGCAUCAUGAGGCUUAGACCUUGAGAACUGAUAUGAUUUAAUUGAAACUGAUUUUUUAUGCUUCCACACCUAUAUAAGCAUUUCGGGCUCUUCAGUUAUGGACGGCUCCUCUGUAGUGCAACAGAGCUCCAAUCAAGACCCAAGCUCCCAACAGGUGCCACAAAGUCAGCAGCAGCGAGGGGCUUCCAGUGCUACAUCGUUGCCCACGUCAAGAAUGGGCCAAGUUUCACUUCCCCUCGGCCCACAUGUCCCUGGCUCUUUCAUACAGGAUCCCAAUAAUAUAGCCCAGCUGCAGAAAAAACCCCGAUUGGAUAUCAAGCAGGAAGACAUUAUGCAACAGCAGGUUCUGCAACAACCAUUGCAGCGACAGGAAUCCAUGCAAUUACAAACCCACAAUCCUCAGUUGCAAGCUUUAAUUCAGUAGCAGAGAAUGCAACAACAGCGGCAACAGUUUCUGCAGUCUAUACCACCAGUGCAGCGAGCCCACAUACUGCAACAGUAGCAACAGCAGCAAUAGCAGCAGCAGCAGCUACAGCAGCAGCAACAGAUGCAGUUGAGACAACAACUUCAACAACAGGGUAUACAACCUAUGUCUUCCAUAAAGCGACCCAAUGAUAAUGGUGUAUGUUCUCGUCGACUAAUGCAAUAUUUAUAUCAUCAGCGGCAACGACCCCCUACCCAUACUAUUGCCUACUGGAGGAAGUUUGUCGCAGAGUACUACUCCCCGCGUGCAAAGAAAAGAUGGUGCUUGUCAUUAUAUGAUAAUGUUGGUCAUCAUUCACUAGGUGUUUACCCCCAGGCAACCAUGAUUGGAAAAAUUGGGACCUUUAGAGUGGGACAAGGUAGUACAUGGACAUGAAGCAUGGAGACUUAUCACUUGUAUCUGGUUGCAUGCUGGUGUUAUUCAUCUGCUAGCAAACAUGUUGAGCUUGGUAUUUAAAUGUGAAGUUUCUUAUUCCCUAAUGCUUUUCAAUUGUUAGAUUCUUGGUCUCAAUUCCCAGCAGAGCAAUAUGCUGGGUUCCAAUUCCCAACUUAGGGAGAUGAUGCAAAACCCAGAAUUCAUUCGUCAAUUGACUUCUCCUGAAACAAUGCAGCAACUCAUGACUUUACAGCAAACUCUUUUGUCUCAGCUUGGUCGGCAACCAUCAACCCAGGAAGCAGGUCAAACCGGUGGGGGAACCUGUGCUUUUCUCUAGAAGAAUUUACUCUUUGGCUUCACUUGUGAUACCUCCAAUAGACUUAAUGCUAUUGUUUUGUUGUAUAUUUUAAAUGUUGUACAGUGGAGCUCAUCAUUUAUGAUAGCACCCUGUCUUGCCACAUCUAUAUCAAGUUUUUAACAUUCUUGGUUGCAAUCAAUGAGAGGGAACUUGUCAAUGGUUAGUUCUACAAUAGGGAACUCCAAAAGAGUCUCGAGGACUGUUGGUGUGGUAAUCUUUUGAUGUUACCCCCUGACCCAUAAAAAUUACUUUCCCAGGUAAAUAAAAGAAAAGGAAAAUAAAAUAAAAUAAACAAGCCGAAGGAAGAAGACAUUAUAUGAAAAAAAUUCUUUCAUUUUUUAAAAAUUGUUGUAUGUUAUUUUAUCUCACUGUGGGUGUGCUACUUUUCUUCCAAUAGCAGGAACACUUGACAACAUGGGAUUGGAGAUGUUGAUGAAUAUGUUUGGGGGUCUUGGGAUUGGAAGCCCUGCCGUUCCUGUCAGAUCAGAUGUGCCCCCGGAAGAACUGUAUGCCACUCAGCUCUCACAGCUACAAGAAUGGGCUUCUUUGAUACCCGAGAGAAUAUACAGGCACUGAUAGCCAUUGCAGGGAAUGUUCAUGCUGCAGUGGAGCGGCUUUUGGGGAACCCCGGUACAAAAUUAUAAUGGAUGAUUCAUGUUUUUCUACUUCGAAAUCUUCAUUGACAGUGUGCCACAAUCUAGCAGAAGUAGCAAAAGCACAAUUUUCACGUAAUUACAGUGAUAACCUUGCUCUUGUCCGGGCUUAUGAGGCCUGGAAAGAAGCUGAAAGAGACGUAGCUGGAUAUGAAUACUGUUGGAAGAAUUUUCUUUUUGCUCAAUCAAUGAAAGCUAUUGAUGCUCUGUGAAGGGAGUUCUACUCUUUACUUAAGGAAUAUGUUUUAAAUUUUAAUGCUAAGUGGAUGUGAAUUGGAUGAUUAUAUAGAUUACAAGCGGAUUUUUAAUUGAAUGAAUAUGUAGGUUGGAAUUA